GAUGAACGCUGGCGGCGUGCCUAAUACAUGCAAGUCGAGCGAACGGACGAGGAGCUUGCUUCUCUGAUGUUAGCGGCGGACGGGUGAGUAACACGUGGAUAACCUACCUAUAAGACUGGGAUAACUUCGGGAAACCGGAGCUAAUACCGGAUAAUAUUUUGAACCGCAUGGUUCAACAGUGAAAGACGGUCUUGCUGUCACUUAUAGAUGGAUCCGCGCUGCAUUAGCUAGUUGGUAAGGUAACGGCUUACCAAGGCAACGAUGCAUAGCCGACCUGAGAGGGUGAUCGGCCACACUGGAACUGAGACACGGUCCAGACUCCUACGGGAGGCAGCAGUAGGGAAUCUUCCGCAAUGGGCGAAAGCCUGACGGAGCAACGCCGCGUGAGUGAUGAAGGUCUUCGGAUCGUAAAACUCUGUUAUUAGGGAAGAACAUAUGUGUAAGUAACUGUGCACAUCUUGACGGUACCUAAUCAGAAAGCCACGGCUAACUACGUG
Molecule: ribosomal RNA, 497 nt
Filed under: uncultured bacterium
Lineage: Bacteria
Description: partial 16S ribosomal RNA
Rfam family: Bacterial small subunit ribosomal RNA
Source: RNAcentral